AUGUGCAUCUUUAUGUUCCUAGCUCUUAAAAUUCAAUUCAAGCGUGAUUUUUUUAAUUCUUUGAUACCCUCUGAUCAUAUAUUAUUCCGGCUCUGUCCAUCAAAGCUUAUGAAUGCAAGCCAACAUGUUCCUGAAUAUAUGUCCUGCAACCAGUGGACAUCUGAACAGACGAAGAAGGCAUAUGGGUGUGCAACACUGAAGAAAACAGAACAUUUUCAUAACAUCUCAGAGGAGUAAAAUGGUUUGAAGAAACAGAAACAUAAUCUGUCAAUGGAGUGGAGCCAGUGACCACUGGAAGAGACCAUUGGUAGAGAAAAGAAUCUGGUAAAGAAGCUCUGAUAUAGAA
RNAcentral lists this long non-coding RNA (346 nucleotides) under Sus scrofa (pig). Its description in RNAcentral is "lncRNA (ENSSSCG00060046842.1)". The record is from RNAcentral. Lineage: Eukaryota; Metazoa; Chordata; Mammalia; Artiodactyla; Suidae.